AGCCCCACCCCCACGUCAAGGGCAACAGCGAAGUGGUUCCUCAGGUGAUCCAUGUGUUCCCUCAACUUGUCCUAUAUCCACCUUUAUUUUUCUCACCAAUUCAUCCACCAGUGAUGGUGCCGCUCAAGCAGAGAUGACACUAGCAUGCCGGCGUUGGGGAUCUGUGUGCCAGGGUUGAGGGUUGAGGGAACCUGACUGAAUUCUAAUUUUCAGGUCAAUACACGUUAUAGAACAUGGAGAUGUGGCAAUUGUGUGUCUUCGAUGUGUCUUCAGUUUUUGGCGAUGAAUCAAGGGUCCUAGAUGGGGACUCUGUUGAGUUCAAAGUGGAGGAAAACAUGAAUGGUAAUGGGAAUAAAGAAAAGAAAAUAUCUCAAAAGAUCAGUACAGUUUUCAGGAAGGGAAUCGGUGGAUAAACAAUAUUAGAGAAAUGUUUGACGAAGGAGCAUCAUUCCACUGAGGCGGCUGCAUUGCUUAUUGGCGGCAUGGAGAGACAAUUGUUGGCUGUAUAAAUUAGUCUUGUUUUUAAAUUGCUUCAUCAUCAAUGUGUAAAUAUUUAUAUAU
Long non-coding RNA from Sorghum bicolor (sorghum), 561 nucleotides. RefSeq lists it as uncharacterized. The record is from RefSeq and is a predicted model, not a curated record. Lineage: Eukaryota; Viridiplantae; Streptophyta; Magnoliopsida; Poales; Poaceae. The transcript is spliced from 3 exons.